This 365-nucleotide ribosomal RNA is filed under the name uncultured eukaryote. Its description in RNAcentral is "partial 18S ribosomal RNA". It matches the Rfam family "Eukaryotic small subunit ribosomal RNA", at positions 592 to 975 of the family's 1831-position model. The record is from RNAcentral.
CAAUAGCGUAUAUUAAAGUUGUUGCAGUUAAAAAGCUCGUAGUUGAAUUUCUGGCGGGCGCGCCGGUCUUCCAAGUGUUGUACUGGGCGCAGUCCGCCAUCCUUGUGGAGAGGGCUCGCAUUGAGUUGCGUGUCGGAUCUGCAUCAUUUACUGUGAAAAAAUUAGAGUGUUUAAAGCAGGCUGUCGCUUGAAUACAUUAGCAUGGAAUAAUAAGAUAGGACUUCGGUCUAUUUUGUUGGUUGCGAACCGAGGUAAUGAUUAAUAGGGAUAGUUGGGGGUAUUCAUAUUUAAUUGUCAGAGGUGAAAUUCUUGGAUUUAUGAAAGAUGAACAACUGCGAAAGCAUUUACCAAGGAUGUUUNCAUUA